GAUGAACGCUGGCGGCGUGCCUAAUACAUGCAAGUCGAGCGAAAAGACGAGGAGCUUGCUCCUUUGACGUUAGCGGCGGACGGGUGAGUAACACGUGGAUAACCUACCUAUAAGACUGGGAUAACUUCGGGAAACCGGAGCUAAUACCGGAUAAUAUAUUGAACCGCAUGGUUGGAUAGUGAGAGACGGUUUUUCUGUCACUUCUAGAUGGAUCCCCGCCGCAUUAGCUGGUUGGUAAGGUAACGGCUUACCAAGGCAACGAUGCGUAGCCGACCUGAGAGGGUGAUCGGCCACACUGGAACUGAGACACGGUCCAGACUCCUACGGGAGGCAGCAGUAGGGAAUCUUCCGCAAUGGGCGAAAGCCUGACGGAGCAACGCCGCGUGUGUGAUGAAGGUCUUCGGAUCGUAAAACUCUGUUAGUGGGGAAGAACAAAUUUGUAUGUAACUAUGCACUUAUUGACGGUACCUGAUCAAAAAGCCACGGCUAACUACGUG
This 497-nucleotide ribosomal RNA is filed under the name uncultured bacterium. RNAcentral's name for it is "partial 16S ribosomal RNA". It matches the Rfam family "Bacterial small subunit ribosomal RNA", at positions 28 to 507 of the family's 1533-position model. The record is from RNAcentral.